UGCCCUAUCUCUAUUAUAAAAUAUCGUUGCUAUUUCAACUUCAUAGUAGAGGACAAGGCGCGAGCUAUACCCACACACAUCGAUCUCGCGGGGCGCUCAAGGUGCAAACAGUCGCGACUGUGCCGCAGUGACGAACGGACGGUGUACUAUUUUUUAGAAACCGCGCGGUUUUUUCACCAGAAACAAGUUCAGAACAUAUUUAAUAUGGCGACUAGGAAAUAUUGUGCUGUUUUUGGAUGCAUGAUUUCGUCAUUAUCGCAUCCAGAGAUGACUUUUUUUAAAUUACCAGGAAAUCCUGAAAGACGACUUCAAUGGUUACGACUAAUCCAUCGAGAUGAUUUGAAAAACAAGUCUAAGUUUACUUCCUACCAAGUUUGUGAAAAACAUUUUAUUUUGGGGGAUAUACUACACUCGCCAUUUAGAAAAGUUUUAAUAAAGAAGGCCCUACCAAUGUUGAUGCUGCCAAACUUACCUAAUAGCAAUAAAGAAGACUGUAUAAAAGAAGACAAACAAACGCAAACUGAUCCGUUAGUAGAUAAUGAAAAUGCAACGAAAGAAAUCUUCACUCAAACCUCGAAAAGUCUCUUUAUCAACAGCCCAAGGGAGAGAAAAUUGAAAGCUGAGCUCCUCCAAUGCAGAAAGAAAAUAAAAUUACUCGAAAAUACAAAUAAAACAAAAAAAGCUGAACAAAAAACUUUCCAUCAACUUUGCGAUAAAUUUUUGAACGACAAACUAGCUCUAAUAAUAAAAGCCCAGAGUAAACUAAAACAACAUGGAACAGGAAAUCGAUAUAGUAAGGACUACAUCACUUACUGUUUAGAUUUACACAACAUCAGUCCACAAGCAUACCGGUUUUUGCAAAAUGCGUUAUGUUUACCCUGUCCUUCAACAUUCACCAAUUACAAACGAAAUCAAUGAAAGAGGAAAAGAGCACGGCACUACGGCAGUUCGCGCUCGGCACUCGUUGAGUGUGGUCGCGCGCUAGCUAUAGCUGUGUGUAUAGUGGGAAUUUUCACACUGUUACUUUCGCGAUAAUGUAAACGCCAAUACGCCAUUAAUAAUAUAUAAUGAAAUACUCAUUUCAUUAUUCAUCUUCACAGCAGUCGGAACUUAAAUAAACCAGUAGCGGGUAACAGCGUCUCCCUUCAAGUUUAUCAUCCAAAAUAGCAUUUUGUACUUUUGUUGUAUUUUAAAUUAAAAUAAAACAUUGAAUACUGA
Long non-coding RNA from Bicyclus anynana (squinting bush brown), 1218 nucleotides. RefSeq lists it as uncharacterized. NCBI's taxonomy places the organism in Eukaryota, Metazoa, Arthropoda, Insecta, Lepidoptera, Nymphalidae. The transcript has 2 exons. The record is from RefSeq and is a predicted model, not a curated record.